This 1609-nucleotide long non-coding RNA is filed under the name Homo sapiens (human). RNAcentral's name for it is "non-protein coding lnc-PITRM1-11:1". The record is from RNAcentral. Lineage: Eukaryota; Metazoa; Chordata; Mammalia; Primates; Hominidae.
GAGAGCUUCUCAGUGCUGGGGCACGGCACGUUGCUCAGAUCAGCUUUCCCGGUGAGAGUAACAGAACGCGGAAGGAACUCUAAGAAGCCUAUUUAAAAAUGACUGACUAGCGGAUGUGAUAGAGAGCGAUUAUCAGGGUAGACCAUAAGCCUGUAACACAGAGGGGGUGGCCAAGCACAGCCCAGCUUUCGUCCCAAGGAUGCCAGCUAAACCAAGGAAAGGUGAACUGGAAUUUCAUGAUCUCUUAAAGUUUGGAGACAUGGGAAUGUGGGGGCUUCAACAGGAAGUCCUGCUCUCCUAAAGCCGGGAUCAGAAAAGGCCACACUCUCAGCAGAAGAGUAAAACCCCACCCUGAAACACAGGAUGGAUCCACGUGCUCCGGAUAAAAGGGAAGGUCGAAAAGCUAACAGAGUUCGGAUACAAAACAGAACAAAGACGAAACAAAAAGCUGCAGCCGAACCCUACCUGCUGCUCCAUGUUGAAAUCUGCCUCCUCAAGUCGGGAGCGAGACCAGAAGGAACACCCGAGACUCCGACAUCAGCGUCAGCUGCAGGGGCUCCCGGAAGGACAAGCCUGUCCCUGGAUGCUCAUAAGCAGAGUGGCUACAGUGCAGCAAGGAAACCUUCCAGCAAACACUGCACUUGGCACAGCCGCAGGUCACGUCCCUGCCCACCAGGACCUCUCUGUGAUAAGGGCCAACGAUGUUUCCAUUCCUGUUCAUGAAAUCACUUGGCGAUGAGUGAAAUCUGUGUGCGUUGUAACAACAAAUGACUGCAACAGAAAAUCACCAGAUUUCCAUCAUAACUCAAAUGCCAGCCAGGCUUGGUGGAUGGGCUCCUCGCUGAAAUCUCCAUAGCUGCAUAAUCAUUAGCAGUGAGAACAGUCACCUACACGUGAAAGAAUGACUAGAGGAAAACAAUUCACUCCACUUAAGCAAAGUGAUGCUCCCUUUGGCUAAUCUAAAUACCUUGGGGUUUUGCUAGGUCUUCUCCUUCCUCUCUUCUUCGAGUAGAUGAUGGAACUUUGAAAGCCAGCGUGGGAGAGCAUUACAUGGCUGGAUGAAAACUCUGCUGGGUUUACAGUGAGCUGGCUCAUUAUUCAGUGAAACCUCCAUCCUUAUUCAGCCUUGAAUAUUUAAAUCCAUACAGAUCGGAACUGUACUCCGGAGCCUGGGAACACCGUGCAAUGCGCUCUAAAUCCCUGCUUUCAUGCGCAUGAAAGACCCGUCAUUUUUACCCCUCCUACCAGCCUAAUUGACCGCAUUUCCGUGAACACUCGCUUGCUGGUUCCUAGCAAUGAAGACUGUGGGGUCCUUUCUUUCCAAGGUUGUGCUGGAAAGUGGAGAAGGUAAAGGGGAAAGCAACAGGCAGGCAAGGGGAAUCCGGGAGAAGGGACUCAUCUGCAGCAGUCAUGCCUCUCAUGGAAUCACAGGCCAGGCUAUGAGGAAGAAACGCGGGCUUUGCUCUCGGUCACCUAAUGACGCUUUGUCAUUUUUAAAGGGCAUUGCACUGUGAUUGCCAUGGAUACAUGAAAAGAUAAUGUGCUAUUUUUAGCAUGAAGCAUAAAAUAAAAUCCAAAGUUGGGCAAUAUGACCCUCACGCCUCCAGAG